CGGAAGUUACCCAAGCGGUUAUGGGGCUGUUCUUAUAAAGCAGUUGCGGUAUGUUCGACUCAUACACUUCCGACCA
This 76-nucleotide transfer RNA is filed under the name Clostridiales bacterium. Its description in RNAcentral is "tRNA-Ile". Lineage: Bacteria; Bacillati; Bacillota; Clostridia; Eubacteriales. The record is from RNAcentral.